AGUCCCGAGAAUAGAUCAGUUCAGUUAAACAGCUAUGUCUCAUUCCAGGGGGUGGCAUUACAGAUGGACUAGGACUCUAUAUAUGAAGCGGCAAACAGAUUUUUAAUAAAAGGUGUUUCUAUGAAAACAGAAGAAAAACAAAGGUUAAUAUCUACUGUAGACUAUACACUAGUUUUUUGAGAGUCUCUGUAGUUCUUCAGAUUGUAGUGUUAAUCUGACAGAGUCUCCUGGUUGUAGUUUAAAUCAGGUGUUGCAGUGAACUUUCUGAGUAUUCCAUACAUCAACAAAGCAUAAAAGCUGUUUAUAUAUAAGUUGCUGUAGUGAUUUUUCCCAUAGUUUAUUCAAGUUGUCUUGCUCCAGUCUGCAGGGCUUCAAGAAAAGCAUAGUUUUAACUUCUACUUAUUCCAAGUCAGAAACAUAGGAGAAAAAAAUUUAAAUGUUAGCUUGGAGACUUGUAGCCAGGAAAGAAUUCAAGAUUUAGUUCAAAUGUAGGCAAAUAAUUACAACUUAAAAACAAUGGACAAAGCUAGAAUCUAACAACAGGUAUGCUAUCAUUUUCUUCUGAAACAUAAUUCUUCUCUCUCCAGUCCCCCUUUUCUAUUAAAGGCAAAUCAUAACAGGACCAAUUUAUUUGCAAAAUAAGUUUUAGUUUUAUUAUAUUUGGCCUGAUUAUUUGCAUAAAGUACAGCAAAAAUAGUGAUUGACCACAUAUAGGCUCUUUUAAAGUUUGGCUCUAUAAAGUCAACUUCAAAUCCUCAAAGCAG
Molecule: long non-coding RNA, 764 nt
Filed under: Homo sapiens (human)
Lineage: Eukaryota; Metazoa; Chordata; Mammalia; Primates; Hominidae
Description: HSALNT0087286
Source: RNAcentral